AGCGAACGUUAGCGGCAGGCUUAACACAUGCAAGUCGAGCGAGAAAGGGGCUUCGGCCCUGAGUAAAGCGGCGGACGGGUGCGUAACACGUGGAUAAUCUGCCCUUCGGUGGGGGAAUAACGUUCCGAAAGGAACGCUAAUGCCGCAUGUCACAACAAUGUCUCUGGACAAAGUUGGAAAAGGGGACGCCCGCAAGGGGUUCUCGCCGGAGGAUGAGUCCGCGGCCCAUCAGCUUGUUGGCGGGGUAAUGGCCCACCAAGGCGAAGACGGGUAGCUGGUCUGAGAGGAUGACCAGCCACACUGGGACUGAGACACGGCCCAGACUCCUACGGGAGGCAGCAGUGGGGGAAUAUUGGACAAUGGGCGAAAGCCUGAUCCAGCCAUGCCGCGUGAGUGAUGAAGGUCUUCGGAUCGUAAAGCUCUGUGGGAAGGGACGAAAAAGCCGACCUAAUACGUCGGAGCUUGACGGUACCUUCUUAGCAAGCACCGGCUAACUCCGUGCCAGCAGCCGCGGUAAU
RNAcentral lists this ribosomal RNA (518 nucleotides) under uncultured bacterium. Its description in RNAcentral is "bacterial SSU rRNA". It matches the Rfam family "Bacterial small subunit ribosomal RNA", at positions 29 to 524 of the family's 1533-position model. The record is from RNAcentral.